Purpureocillium lilacinum is the source of this 119-nucleotide ribosomal RNA. The record is from Rfam. Lineage: Eukaryota; Fungi; Ascomycota; Sordariomycetes; Hypocreales; Ophiocordycipitaceae.
ACAUACGACCAGAGCCACCAUAAAAAUCGGGAUCCCGUCCGAUCUCCCAGGACAAGUUGGUGAGCGCUGGAUUAGUAGCCGGGACGCUGACGACCAGCGAACACCCAGUGUUGUAUGUU